UGUCUAUUAAUUGUAGACCUGUAUGAAAGGCAAAAUGAGGGUUUAACUGUCUCUUAUAGUAAAUCAAUUAAACUGAUCUCCCAGUAAAAAAGCUGGUAUACCCACAUAAGACCAGAAGACCCUGUGAAGCUUAAACUAAACUAUUAACCCUUAUAAUAGCUACUUUCGGUUGGGGCGACCUUGGAAAAAAAAAGAACUUCCAAACACAAUGAUUAUAAUUCAUCCACCUCCCAGGCUAACAAGCCUAUAAACGACCCAGCACAGCUGAGUAUUGAACCAAGUUACUCCAGGGAUAACAGCGCUAUCUUCUUCAAGAGCCCAUAUCAAAAAGAAGGUUUACGACCUCGAUGUUGGAUCAGGACAUCCUAAUGGUGCA
This 376-nucleotide ribosomal RNA is filed under the name Borikenophis portoricensis (Puerto Rican racer). RNAcentral describes it as "partial 16S ribosomal RNA". It matches the Rfam family "Bacterial large subunit ribosomal RNA", at positions 1970 to 2557 of the family's 2925-position model. The record is from RNAcentral. Lineage: Eukaryota; Metazoa; Chordata; Lepidosauria; Squamata; Dipsadidae.